UUUUAAAAAUUGACUUGUAAUAAUUGUACAUAUUUUGAAAUGCCUUAGCUUGGCUAAAAUGAAUACAUUUUAAACAAUCCUGCUAACUCCCAUUUUGCCCACCCUGGGCUAUGUAGGGCAUUCUGUUCCGGAAGCUUGCAAUCUGAGACACCUGGCAUCUUGUAAUCAAUUAUCUGAGAAACAGGGCCCACCUGCCCUGUACAUCCUGUAUCUGCAACUGUGUAACUGUUACCCCACGCUGUUACCCAACAUCCUAAGUAGAGCUUUUUGUUAGGCCCGCCUUCUCCCCUAACCUGCUCCUUCUGCUUCUGUAAUAAUCUGCUUACCCCGACCCUAAUCUAGUAUAAAAAUGUUGAUUGCCUUUUGUUCUUGACCGAGAGGUUUGAGCUCUAGCUGACUCUCGGAUGCUGGGAUAACGGUGGACUCUCAACAAACUCAGUGCGUGGCGCUUCUGUUUAAACUCGCUCAGGGUUCUUCUUGUUACUAGUUUUUGUGCUUGGCAGACUUAUAAGUGAUAGAGAGAGAAGAAUCUUUGGAUGCAGCCAAUUACUGCAGUUCAGGGCUGGAAACCCUCCCAGCCAUGCAGCUGGUCAGGUGAUUGUGUGUCCAGAAAAAGAGGUAAAAGCAAGGAAGAUGGAGGCAUACUGCCUUCACAGCAGCAGGAGAAGGGUCUCUGCUCGUUUUUCACAUUGGCAUUGAUUCACAUCUGGGGUGAAAUGCCGUGUUGCUGUAACAGGACUGCAGUAACUGGACUAAGAAAAAGAGAGUAGAAAACUACCCAAGAGGCUUCGGGCAAUCAACGAGGAGCCUGUGCUGUGAGCACUAAGUCUGCUUGUGAACGGGUCAGGGCCAUGAGUGGGCAGUGACCUGACCCAGAGGAACCACAGCAACACCCAGGACCAGCAGGAGAAUAUUUGGGACAAUCUGGACUGAAAAACUCAAGAACAAAUGAUAGAUCUGAGAUAGAAAUGAGAAUUUAAAAGCAGGCAUUUGGGGAGCAAUGUCCUUGGACAGGGUUUGUUUCUAUCAGUGUCCCUCUGGUGGAGAGUUAAGCUCUAAUUCUGGAGGACAAAUGCACCUCAUCCUAAAGGAUCUUCCUUUCCCUUCAGAGAAUUCAUUCCUUGUUCCUUUUUUAUAUGGUUUAUAAUUUAACUGUCUGAUACAUGUCUGUUUCAAGAACAUUUAACACUAAUCCUCCGUGAAUUUUGAGUAGACUAACUGCUAACUCCGUGAAUUUUGAGUAGACUAACAGAAUAUACUGUUCAGCUCUCCAGGCUGGUGAGGCUGGGCUGGACCCUUUCCUUGUUUACAGGUGCUUGUCAACAGAUGCUAGUGCAAGGCUGCUGCUGCUGGUGUGGAUUAGGAAAAAUGGAGACAAAAGAAAGCAAGGCCAUGUUCUAGCAAAAGACCAUUGACUUAACUUUAAUUCUACCUUCAGAAAUGGUAUGCUUCCAACAGCUUACUGUAUUCCUUCAAAUAAUCCUUUUUUAAAAGUUUAAUGUAAAAUCUUUAAAAUAUUAUAGCAUAUAGCAUAAGAUUUCAAGCUUGUGAUGUGACCUGUUGUCAUGAUUAUUAAUUUCCCAAAUCAAGAAAUGUGGAUUAUGACUACUUAAAGAAUUUGUAUUGCUUUUGCUGUUUAAUGUAAUAAUUUCACAUCUUAGAAAAAUGUCAUACAUUUAGCUAAGUAUGUCACAUUUUAAGCACAUGUGAAAUUGUUUUUCAUUAAAACCAUUUUUACGUUUUUCUAAAAUAUAACAAUGUUACUUUUUAGGACUUCUGUUUUCUGGAGAAUGCUAAAAUUGGAUAUAAAAAUUCUGCAAACAAAACUAUAAUGAUAAGUACACUUUUAAAAUACAGCUACAAAAAUGUGCCUACUUUUCAUAAGUAAGAUUGAGAUUUGCUCUAUGGUUACUAGUGCAAUGACUGAAUAUACUGACAAAAAUAUACUAGAUCUUCACUUGCAUUUGAAAAAAAAACUCAUAACCAAUAAAACUAGUUUUGAGUUAAUGGCAAAAUCAAAAAUUAAGAUGGUAUUUUUUGCUCUUCCUGCUGAUUUCAUUGCAAUUAUAUCUAAAACAUUAAAUAUUUGAGAAAUAUUUGGUCCUAACAAUGAAAUCCCAAAUAGUGUUCAAAAUAUAAUUUUAAAUUGUGAUGUUACAUUUUCUGUAAGAAAUACUAUUCGCUAUUCUUUAUCAAUAGCUAUGAGUUAAUCUGUGGAGCUGUAUUAUAGCUACUUUAAUUUUUUUUAAGUUUUGGUGGGUUUUAUUUCUGUUUCUCCUUUUGUUCAAUUUCACUCUCUUUAUAUUCUUCCCUUACUAGCUUAUUUAAUUCUGUGGCUUUAACUAACAUUCAUUACAUGAGGAUUCUGAAAUUUCUUCUUAAGCUAGUGUGCUGGCUUUCAAUCUAUAUUAAUAUCCAUAAUAUAUUAUGUGUAUGAGUUAAGUACAUAUUUUACAUUUUAAAUACAUAUUUCUAUUUAAACUAAUGCACAUAUAUGAAGAGACUGCAAAAAGUUCAUGCAAAAAUGAAACUAAGAGAUAAAAAAUUUUUUAAAUAGAGAAUUUUUUUAAACAUAAGCUUCGUCAAGCUUAAGACAUUUUGGAAGUUGAUGAUAUCAGUCAUUUAGUUCAUCCUUAAAGAACAGAGACUUUUGGGAAUUUAUGUCAAUGUAAUCAUUUUACAUUAUUAAAUGAAGAAAAAUGAGUGUCCUUUAAAGAUUUUUUAAGAUUAGAAAACACAAUGAAGUCAGAAGAAGCCAAAUCAGGACCAUAAGCUCGACUUCCCACCGAAACUUGGAAAACUUCCUUUCAUGAUAAGAGGAAUGAGUUGUCCUUAUGGUGAAGGAUUUCCUGGUGAAGCUUUUCUGGGUGUUUUUCUGUUAAACGUUUUGGCUCACUUUCUGAAAACACUCUCAUAAUAAACAAUUGUUGCUGUUCUUUGGUCUUCCAGAAAGGCAACAAAGGAAAUGCCUUGAGCAUUCCCAGAUCUGCUGCCCUGAGCUUCCUCCUGACAAGUCCACUUUUGUUUAGUCAAGACCACUUCCACUUCUUGGGAGCCGUUAGGUUGGUUUUUGUUUUGUCUUCAGGACUAUACUGGUAAAGCCACAUUUCAUCUUCUG
Callithrix jacchus (white-tufted-ear marmoset) is the source of this 3118-nucleotide long non-coding RNA. The record is from Ensembl. NCBI's taxonomy places the organism in Eukaryota, Metazoa, Chordata, Mammalia, Primates, Cebidae.